RNAcentral lists this ribosomal RNA (398 nucleotides) under uncultured bacterium. Its description in RNAcentral is "partial 16S ribosomal RNA". It matches the Rfam family "Bacterial small subunit ribosomal RNA", at positions 523 to 918 of the family's 1533-position model. The record is from RNAcentral.
AUACGUAGGGUGCGUGCGUUGUCCGGAAUUACUGGGCGUAAAGAGCUCGUAGGUGGUUUGUCGCGUCGUCUGUGAAAUUCCGGGGCUUAACUCCGGGCGUGCAGGCGAUACGGGCAUAACUUGAGUACUGUAGGGGAGACUGGAAUUCCUGGUGUAGCGGUGAAAUGCGCAGAUAUCAGGAGGAACACCGGUGGCGAAGGCGGGUCUCUGGGCAGUAACUGACGCUGAGGAGCGAAAGCAUGGGUAGCGAACAGGAUUAGAUACCCUGGUAGUCCAUGCCGUAAACGGUGGGCGCUAGGUGUAGGGGUCUUCCACGACUUCUGUGCCGUAGCUAACGCAUUAAGCGCCCCGCCUGGGGAGUACGGCCGCAAGGCUAAAACUCAAAUGAAUUGACGGGG